Molecule: ribosomal RNA, 64 nt
Filed under: Cladonia phyllophora
Lineage: Eukaryota; Fungi; Ascomycota; Lecanoromycetes; Lecanorales; Cladoniaceae
Description: partial 5.8S ribosomal RNA
Rfam family: 5.8S ribosomal RNA
About the family: 5.8S ribosomal RNA (5.8S rRNA) is a component of the large subunit of the eukaryotic ribosome.
Source: RNAcentral
AACUUUCAACAACGGAUCUCUUGGUUCUGGCAUCGAUGAAGAACGCAGCGAAAUGCGAUAAGUA